UACGUAGGGUGCAAGCGUUGUCCGGAAUUAUUGGGCGUAAAGAGCUCGUAGGCGGCUUGUCGCGUCGGCUGUGAAAACCUGGGGCUCAACUCCGGGCCUGCAGUCGAUACGGGCAGACUGGAGUUCGGCAGGGGAGACUGGAAUUCCUGGUGUAGCGGUGAAAUGCGCAGAUAUCAGGAGGAACACCGGUGGCGAAGGCGGGUCUCUGGGCCGAUACUGACGCUGAGGAGCGAAAGCGUGGGGAGCGAACAGG
This 253-nucleotide ribosomal RNA is filed under the name uncultured bacterium. RNAcentral's name for it is "partial 16S ribosomal RNA". It matches the Rfam family "Bacterial small subunit ribosomal RNA", at positions 524 to 776 of the family's 1533-position model. The record is from RNAcentral.